Molecule: non-coding RNA, 45 nt
Organism: Schistosoma margrebowiei
Lineage: Eukaryota; Metazoa; Platyhelminthes; Trematoda; Strigeidida; Schistosomatidae
Source: Rfam
UCCCAGGUGACGAGUCCAAAAUAGGACGAAACAUGCUUCCUAGAU